This 423-nucleotide ribosomal RNA is filed under the name uncultured bacterium. Its description in RNAcentral is "bacterial SSU rRNA". It matches the Rfam family "Bacterial small subunit ribosomal RNA", at positions 207 to 622 of the family's 1533-position model. The record is from RNAcentral.
AAGACCUUGCGCUUUUGGAGCGGCCGAUGCCUGAUUAGCUUGUUGGUAAGGUAAAAGCUUACCAAGGCUUCGAUCAGUAGCUGGUCUGAGAGGACGACCAGCCACACUGGGACUGAGACACGGCCCAGACUCCUACGGGAGGCAGCAGUGGGGAAUUUUGGACAAUGGGGGCAACCCUGAUCCAGCCAUGCCGCGUGAGUGAAGAAGGCCUUCGGGUUGUAAAGCUCUUUCAGCCGGAACGAAACGGUUACGGUUAACACCCGUGACUACUGACGGCACCGGAAGAAGAAGCACCGGCUAACUACGUGCCAGCAGCCGCGGUAAUACGUAGGGUGCGAGCGUUAAUCGGAAUUACUGGGCGUAAAGCGUGCGCAGGUGGUUUUGUAAGUCAGAUGUGAAAGCCCCGGGCUCAACCUGGGAACU